Molecule: microRNA precursor, 93 nt
Filed under: Glossina pallidipes
Lineage: Eukaryota; Metazoa; Arthropoda; Insecta; Diptera; Glossinidae
Description: microRNA mir-598
Source: RNAcentral
UGCUGCUGAUGAUGAUGAUGAUGAUGAUGAUGAUCAUGAUGGUGCUGCUGCCAUACUGCUGCUGGUUUAUCGUCAUCAUCAUUAUCUUGAGGC